Molecule: ribosomal RNA, 379 nt
Filed under: uncultured bacterium
Lineage: Bacteria
Description: bacterial SSU rRNA
Rfam family: Bacterial small subunit ribosomal RNA
Source: RNAcentral
GACGGAGGGGGCAAGCGUUGUCCGGACUUACUGGGCGUAAAGGGCUCGUAGGCGGUUGCCUGCGUCGGUGCUGAAAGCGCCCCGCUUAACGGGGCGAGGCGUGCCGAUACGAGGCGACUGGAGGCAGGCAGAGGGUGGCGGAAUUCCGGGUGUAGUGGUGAAAUGCGUAGAGAUCCGGAGGAACGCCUGUGGCGCAAGCGGCCACCUGGGCCUGACCUGACGCUGAGGAGCGAAAGCGUGGGGAGCGAACCGGAUUAGAUACCCGGGUAGUCCACGCGGUAAACGAUGCCAGCUCGGUGUCUGGGGUCCUUUUGGGACCCUGGGUGCCUCAGCACACGCGGUAAGCUGGCCGCCUGGGGACUACGAGCGCAAGCUUAAA